AUCACAAGAUUUUGAUUAUGUUAUAAGUACUAAUAUUAGUCAGAAUAAGUAGGUUUAUUUUUGUAUGUAUAUGUAUUAUUUUUGUUAAAACUGGGAUUAUAAAUAUAUAUAUGUAAAUGUGUAACUGUAUGGGGGUGUAUAAUAAUAACCGUGUAUCAUUAUGAAUAUUAUUUUUUGCAACAUCAUUAUUUUUUUUUUUAUUUAUUUUAUAUUUUAUAUUAAUAUAUAGCUAUAAAAUUCCCGAUGUUGGAUAUUUAUAUAAGAUUGACGAAAUGGGCACUGGAAGAACGGAUGACGUCCAUACUCCUAUUAAUAUGGUUUUUGGUGAAAGAGAUAUCGAUGCCGGUGAAGUAGAAAAAAUUAAAAAAGUUCUGAACACAUUCGACCAAGGAAAUGGACUAGGUAUAUGUACAUUAAUGGGAGCAAAAAGAGGGCACUUUGCCUUUAAGUAUAAUGGCUAUCUUAGUCAUUUUCACGGAAUAAAAAGCUAUUUAAAGUAUAGUACUAUCUUUUUUAUUUUUUUUUUUUAUUUUUUUUGUUAUAU
RNAcentral lists this long non-coding RNA (544 nucleotides) under Piliocolobus tephrosceles (Ugandan red Colobus). RNAcentral describes it as "lncRNA (ENSPTEG00000038598.1)". The record is from RNAcentral. Lineage: Eukaryota; Metazoa; Chordata; Mammalia; Primates; Cercopithecidae.